GAUGAACGCUGGCGGCGUGCCUAAUACAUGCAAGUCGAGCGAACGGACGAGAAGCUUGCUUCUCUGAUGUUAGCGGCGGACGGGUGAGUAACACGUGGAUAACCUACCUAUAAGACUGGGAUAACUUCGGGAAACCGGAGCUAAUACCGGAUAAUAUUUUGAACCGCAUGGUUCAAAAGUGAAAGACGGUCUUGCUGUCACUUAUAGAUGGAUCCGCGCUGCAUUAGCUAGUUGGUAAGGUAACGGCUUACCAAGGCAACGAUGCAUAGCCGACCUGAGAGGGUGAUCGGCCACACUGGAACUGAGACACGGUCCAGACUCCUACGGGAGGCAGCAGUAGGGAAUCUUCCGCAAUGGGCGAAAGCCUGACGGAGCAACGCCGCGUGAGUGAUGAAGGUCUUCGGAUCGUAAAACUCUGUUAUUAGGGAAGAACAUAUGUGUAAGUAACUGUGCACAUCUUGACGGUACCUAAUCAGAAAGCCACGGCUAACUACGUGCCAGCAGCCGCGGUAAUACGUAGGUGGCAAGCGUUAUCCGGAAUUAUUGGGCGUAAAGCGCGCGUANGCGGUUUUUUAGUCUGAUGUGAAAGCCCACGGCUCACCCGUGGAGGGUCAUUGGAAACUGGAAAACUUGAGUGCAGAAGAGGAAAGUGGAAUUCCAUGUGUAGCGGUGAAAUGCGCAGAGAUAUGGAGGAACACCAGUGGCGAAGGCGACUUUCUGGUCUGUAACUGACGCUGAUGUGCGAAAGCGUGGGGAUCAAACAGGAUUAGAUACCCUGGUAGUCCACGCCGUAAACGAUGAGUGCUAAGUGUUAGGGGGUUUCCGCCCCUUAGUGCUGCAGCUAACGCAUUAAGCACUCCGCCUGGGGAGUACGACCGCAAGGUUGAAACUCAAAGGAAUUGACGGGGACCCGCACAAGCGGUGGAGCAUGUGGUUUAAUUCGAAGCAACGCGAAGAACCUUACCAAAUCUUGACAUCCUUUGACAACUCUAGAGAUAGAGCCUUCCCCUUCGGGGGACAAAGUGACAGGUGGUGCAUGGUUGUCGUCAGCUCGUGUCGUGAGAUGUUGGGUUAAGUCCCGCAACGAGCGCAACCCUUAAGCUUAGUUGCCAUCAUUAAGUUGGGCACUCUAAGUUGACUGCCGGUGACAAACCGGAGGAAGGUGGGGAUGACGUCAAAUCAUCAUGCCCCUUAUGAUUUGGGCUACACACGUGCUACAAUGGACAAUACAAAGGGCAGCGAAACCGCGAGGUCAAGCAAAUCCCAUAAAGUUGUUCUCAGUUCGGAUUGUAGUCUGCAACUCGACUACAUGAAGCUGGAAUCGCUAGUAAUCGUAGAUCAGCAUGCUACGGUGAAUACGUUCCCGGGUCU
Molecule: ribosomal RNA, 1371 nt
Filed under: uncultured bacterium
Lineage: Bacteria
Description: bacterial SSU rRNA
Rfam family: Bacterial small subunit ribosomal RNA
Source: RNAcentral